Molecule: ribosomal RNA, 404 nt
Filed under: Actinomycetes bacterium
Lineage: Bacteria; Bacillati; Actinomycetota; Actinomycetes
Description: Actinobacteria bacterium partial 16S ribosomal RNA
Rfam family: Bacterial small subunit ribosomal RNA
Source: RNAcentral
UGGGGAAUAUUGGACAAUGGGCGCAAGCCUGAUCCAGCCAUGCCGCGUGAGUGAUGAAGGCCCUAGGGUUGUAAAGCUCUUUCACCGGUGAAGAUAAUGACGAUAACCGGAGAAGAAGCCCCGGCUAACUUCGUGCCAGCAGCCGCGGUAAUACGAAGGGGGCUAGCGUUGUUCGGAUUUACUGGGCGUAAAGCGCACGUAGGCGGACUAUUAAGUCAGGGGUGAAAUCCCGGGGCUCAACCCCGGAACUGCCUUUGAUACUGGUAGUCUUGAGUUCGAGAGAGGUGAGUGGAAUUCCGAGUGUAGAGGUGAAAUUCGUAGAUAUUCGGAGGAACACCAGUGGCGAAGGCGGCUCACUGGCUCGAUACUGACGCUGAGGUGCGAAAGCGUGGGGAGCAAACAGG